GUUUAAAAUUUAGAAGGAUAUUUUGAUAAUUUCGGAAUAAAUUUCAAAAUUUUGAAUUGUAGUUAGGGAUAGAAAAUUGCAACUUUAUUUAUAAAAUUAUGUUUAAUAAAAGGCUAAAUUAUAGAAGAUUUUUUUUUAAAUAUCCACUUUUUCACUUUUACUCCUUGACUUUCAAAAAUUUACAUUUUACUCUCUUAAUUUUUCAAGCUGUUGGAUUAAGCCCCCCUUAAUUCGUCCGGUUCCAUCAUUAUUUUAUUUAUUUUUUAUAAUUUACCUCAAAAAUAUCCUUUAAUUUUUUUUUUAUAGAAAAAAUAAAGAUAAUUUGAUCAUUUUGUCCUCUCUAUUAACACCGUACUUUUUUACAAAUAUUUCUAAAAUUUUAAAAAGAUAAAAUAUAAAUUUUUUAAAAGUAAGAAAAAAAUAAAAAGUAAAUAUUUAUAAAAUUUGUUUUUGUAAUUU
RNAcentral lists this long non-coding RNA (459 nucleotides) under Ananas comosus (pineapple). RNAcentral describes it as "long non-coding RNA (ACOM_LNC007610)". Lineage: Eukaryota; Viridiplantae; Streptophyta; Magnoliopsida; Poales; Bromeliaceae. The record is from RNAcentral.